Molecule: ribosomal RNA, 117 nt
Filed under: Lepisosteus oculatus (spotted gar)
Lineage: Eukaryota; Metazoa; Chordata; Actinopteri; Semionotiformes; Lepisosteidae
Source: RNAcentral
GCCAGCAGCCAUAUGACCCUGCAGCUCUCAACUGCCUACCCACUGAAGCUCAGCUGGGUUGAGCCUGGUCAGUACCUGGCUGGGAGACCUACUGGGAAGCUAUGGUUGCUGCUGGAA